GCGCGGAAGAUGUAACGGGGCUCAAACCAGGUACCGAAGCUACGGGUGUGCCUGCAUCACUUAAGGCUAUUCGAUUAACGUCGCGAAGCGACGUUCAAGCGCUCCCCGAACGUUGAGUCGGGUGGGCAGAUCAUGAUGAGUAGGCUUAAGGAUGCAGGCACGCGGUAGAGGAGCGUCGUGUAAGCCGACGAAGGUGGAUCGAGAGGUCUGCUGGAGGUAUCACGAGUGCGAAUGCUGACAUGAGUAACGACAAGG
Molecule: ribosomal RNA, 255 nt
Filed under: Halomonas gemina
Lineage: Bacteria; Pseudomonadati; Pseudomonadota; Gammaproteobacteria; Oceanospirillales; Halomonadaceae
Description: partial 23S ribosomal RNA
Rfam family: Bacterial large subunit ribosomal RNA
Source: RNAcentral